GAUGAACGCUGGCGGCGUGCCUAAUACAUGCAAGUCGAGCGAACAGACGAGGAGCUUGCUCCUUUGACGUUAGCGGCUGACGGGUGAGUAACACGUAGGUAACCUACCUAUAAGACUGGGAUAACUUCGGGAAACCGGAGCUAAUACCGGAUAAUAUUUCGAACCGCAUGGUUCGAUAGUGAAAGAUGGCUUUGCUAUCACUUAUAGAUGGACCUGCGCCGUAUUAGCUAGUUGGUAAGGUAACGGCUUACCAAGGCAACGAUACGUAGCCGACCUGAGAGGGUGAUCGGCCACACUGGAACUGAGACACGGUCCAGACUCCUACGGGAGGCAGCAGUAGGGAAUCUUCCGCAAAGGGCGAAAGCCUGACGGAGCAACGCCGCGUGAGUGAUGAAGGUCUUCGGAUCGUAAAACUCUGUUAUUAGGGAAGAACAAACGUGUAAGUAACUGUGCACGUCUUGACGGUACCUAAUCAGAAAGCCACGGCUAACUACGUG
This 497-nucleotide ribosomal RNA is filed under the name uncultured bacterium. RNAcentral's name for it is "partial 16S ribosomal RNA". It matches the Rfam family "Bacterial small subunit ribosomal RNA", at positions 28 to 507 of the family's 1533-position model. The record is from RNAcentral.